Oncorhynchus kisutch (coho salmon) is the source of this 1603-nucleotide long non-coding RNA. RefSeq lists it as uncharacterized. The transcript is spliced from 5 exons. The record is from RefSeq and is a predicted model, not a curated record. Lineage: Eukaryota; Metazoa; Chordata; Actinopteri; Salmoniformes; Salmonidae.
AGGCGUCAUUGUUUCUGUUUCUUGUUUGUGUGCUGUUUGUGUUUCUUGUUUUGUAUUAUGUUCUGUUCUGUUUAUUUUAUUAAAACACUCACUCCCUGAACUUGCUUCCAGACUUUCAGAGCACAUCGUUAUAGAAUGACGCCUCACCUAGUGAAGCAUCAGGGAGUGUUUAUUCAUUUUUUUACAAUUUAUUUUUUGGGUGGGAAUGACGUCGGGUCCGGGAGCCGUACAGGCUCUCAUGCUUUAGACAGAUUGCCAGGCUCCCCUGCCUCCGCCGGCUCGUCAGGCUCUCAUGCUUCAGCCGGAUUGCCAGGCUCCCCUGCCUCAGCUGGUCUGUCAGGUUCCCUCGCUCCAGCCAGCGACAGGUUCAACUGAUGAUGAAGAUUGCAACAGAGAACCUGCUGACACAGGAGCUGUGCAUGAAGGAGGAGGUGUACCAUCAGAGCCUCAUCAAGCCACUGCACAUACGGAUCAGCAGGUGAGAAAGGUGUCGGAGCGUUACCAACCGUAUGGGCACCUCAACGACGAAAGGGCGCACAUGAACGUGGCGGUGAUUGUGGCUGGGAACUCCUUGGUUAACCUGAAGUGCUCCCUUUUGCUAGAGAAUGCUCCCUCGGUUGACAGCGGGCGCUUUGUGGGCAUGGCAACUCAACUGGAGUACGAGGCACAUUGCACAGAAGCUGUCUGUGAAGACUGCAGAUGUGACAGAUGUCAUCGGUUGAGGCAACAUCAGCGGCAGUUCCCAUGUUGACCUACAGAGGGCGAAGGUUUUCCAAUACAAAGGGGCCAUCUGGGGACCAUCAGAUUUUUCUCAACCAGUCCUAGAGAUUAUAUAUGACAGGAAAUGGCUACAGUCUGACUUCCUGAAUUUGGUCAGUUCCCAACGUGCCACAGUAGCCUCCAAGUCCCAGAGGGCUACAGCCAUAUCAGCCACUAAUAGGAUGAUUGCAGUUCUAAAGGCCUGGAACUGCAACUCUUCUGCUAAGGAGGUCCUCUCCUUUGGCAUACUCAGCACAGGACAUUACAACCUCCCAGCUGGUGUAGUAUUCUCAAUGCCAGUGAGCCUCCAGGAUGGUAGAUGGUCCGUGUUGUCUGAUGUAAUUGGUGAUGCUGCAGAUUGCUGCAGACCAACUCAGGGAUUGCUGCAGACCAACUGAGUAUAGUAACUAGGACACAGACACAGCAAUCACAUUGUGUCUCAUAGCUUAGUAUGCUUCUGUGCCAGUGUUUUUAGAUUAUUUCCCAGGACCUUUAAUAUUUCAAUUGAAACCAAUUAAAUCCCAAAUAUUUUUAUGAGGGAGGCACAGUGGUAAGAGUGUGUGUGUGUGUCUGUGGGGGCAGGGGAAACAUCUGUACUGCAUUGCCCUCAUUCCUUUGGAUUAAUUGAUUUUUCAUGAACUUUAAUUGCAAAGUAAUGUUUCUUUUGUGUUUAUACUAUUUUGUUUACACUAUCCCUAGGAGAAAGAUCUUGCAUCAAGGACAAGAAAAGACACUGCAUGAAUUUACACUAGUUUCUGACGCACUUCCUGUCAGAGUUGUAAUAUGUUUUGUUCAAAAUAAACAAUGCUCUUUAUACUUUUUGAUAAAGACAUCUGAUAUUUAU